RNAcentral lists this transfer RNA (74 nucleotides) under Halodesulfurarchaeum sp. HSR-GB. RNAcentral's name for it is "tRNA-Gln". It matches the Rfam family "tRNA". From Rfam's summary of the family: Transfer RNA (tRNA) molecules are approximately 80 nucleotides in length. Their secondary structure includes four short double-helical elements and three loops (D, anti-codon, and T loops). Further hydrogen bonds mediate the characteristic L-shaped molecular structure. tRNAs have two regions of fundamental functional importance: the anti-codon, which is responsible for specific mRNA codon recognition, and the 3' end, to which the tRNAs corresponding amino acid is attached (by aminoacyl-tRNA synthetases). tRNAs cope with the degeneracy of the genetic code in two manners: having more than one tRNA (with a specific anti-codon) for a particular amino acid; and 'wobble' base-pairing, i.e. permitting non-standard base-pairing at the 3rd anti-codon position. The record is from RNAcentral. Lineage: Archaea; Methanobacteriati; Methanobacteriota; Halobacteria; Halobacteriales; Halobacteriaceae.
AGUCCUGUGGGAUAGUGGCCAAUUCCGCCGGCCUUUGGAGCCGAAGAUCGCUGGUUCAAAUCCAGCCAGGACUA